This 253-nucleotide ribosomal RNA is filed under the name uncultured bacterium. RNAcentral's name for it is "partial 16S ribosomal RNA". It matches the Rfam family "Bacterial small subunit ribosomal RNA", at positions 524 to 776 of the family's 1533-position model. The record is from RNAcentral.
UACGUAGGGUGCAAGCGUUAAUCGGAAUUACUGGGCGUAAAGCGUGCGCAGGCGGUGAUGUAAGACAGGUGUGAAAUCCCCGGGCUUAACCUGGGAACUGCAUUUGUGACUGCAUCGCUGGAGUGCGGCAGAGGGGGAUGGAAUUCCGCGUGUAGCAGUGAAAUGCGUAGAUAUGCGGAGGAACACCAAUGGCGAAGGCAAUCCCCUGGGCCUGCACUGACGCUCAUGCACGAAAGCGUGGGGAGCAAACAGG